Anolis carolinensis (green anole) is the source of this 397-nucleotide long non-coding RNA. RefSeq lists it as uncharacterized. The transcript has 2 exons. The record is from RefSeq and is a predicted model, not a curated record. NCBI's taxonomy places the organism in Eukaryota, Metazoa, Chordata, Lepidosauria, Squamata, Anolidae.
UCCCUUGGAAUAAUUCUAUGGAUACAUCUCUCAGGGAUUUCCUAAGUCUUCCAUUGUGUUUAUCUCCAGAGAACGUUGUUUGGAAGACCCAAACAAUCUAGAAAGGUGUUAUCUCAGAAUCAGAUCAGCAGUUUACAGAAGGUACUUCCAAAACCACUCAAAAGCAAGAGGAAAUAAUUGUUCUUUUUUGCUUUCCCAGAUUGGGAGCAUCACCACUUUUCACUCAUGAAGAGACCUAUGUUGUUCCUUCAAGGACUGAUUUUGAAGAAAGCCAUCAGCAGUCCAAAAGCACAUUGAACUGCAUUAAUUUAACAGUAUAGAUGCACCCUGACAGAGUUACCUGAGUGGUUCCUUUGACUUUGGCAGCCUCAGUGGAUAAACAUUCUUCCAGCCUGGA